CAUAAUAAUAGUUGUAAUUUGGUAAAAUUGGAACGAUACAGAGAAGAUUAGCAUGGUCCCUGCGUAAGGAUGACACGCAUAAAUCAAGAAAUAGUCCAAAUUUUU
This 105-nucleotide small nuclear RNA is filed under the name Cephalotus follicularis. The record is from RNAcentral. Lineage: Eukaryota; Viridiplantae; Streptophyta; Magnoliopsida; Oxalidales; Cephalotaceae.